This 252-nucleotide ribosomal RNA is filed under the name uncultured bacterium. RNAcentral's name for it is "partial 16S ribosomal RNA". It matches the Rfam family "Bacterial small subunit ribosomal RNA", at positions 524 to 776 of the family's 1533-position model. The record is from RNAcentral.
UACGUAGGGCGCAAGCGUUAUCCGGAAUUAUUGGGCGUAAAGAGCUCGUAGGCGGUUUGUCGCGUCUGCCGUGAAAGUCCGGGGCUCAACUCCGGAUCUGCGGUGGGUACGGGCAGACUAGAGUGAUGUAGGGGAGACUGGAAUUCCUGGUGUAGCGGUGAAAUGCGCAGAUAUCAGGAGGAACACCGAUGGCGAAGGCAGGUCUCUGGGCAUUAACUGACGCUGAGGAGCGAAAGCAUGGGAGUGAACAGG